UUGACGAGGAACCACGGUUCCGAAGUGAUUGAUACCAAGCUUCCAGGAAAAGCCACUAAGCUUCAGUCUAGAGUUGACCGUACCGCAAACCGACACAGGUGGGCAGGAUGAAAAUUCUAAGGCGCUUGAGAGAACUCAGGAGAAGGAACUCGGCAAAUUAACACCGUAACUUCGGGAGAAGGUGUGCCCCGGUAGCGUGUAGAGACUUGCUCUCGAAGCGCGAUGGGGUUGCAGUGAAAUGGUGGCUGCGACUGUUUAAUAAAAACACAGCACUCUGCAAACACGAAAGUGGACGUAUAGGGUGUGACGCCUGCCCGGUGCCGGAAGGUUAAGUGAUGGGGUGCAAGCUCUUGAUCGAAGCCCCGGUAAACGGCGGCCGUAACAAUAACGGUCCUAAGGUAGCGAAAUUCCUUGUCGGGUAAGUUCCGACCUGCACGAAUGGCGUAACGAUGGCCACACUGUCUCCUCCUGGGACUCAGCGAAGUUGAAAUGUUUGUGAAGAUGCAAUCUACCCGCGGCUAGACGGAAAGACCCCAUGAACCUUUACUGUAGCUUUGCAUUGGACUUUGAACCGGUUUGUGUAGGAUAGGUGGGAGACUGUGAAGCCGGGACGCUAGUUUCGGUGGAGUCAACCUUGAAAUACCACCCUGAUUUGUUUGAGGUUCUAACCUUGGUCCGUGAAUCCGGAUCGGGGACCGUGCAUGGUAGGCAGUUUGACUGGGGCGGUCUCCUCCCAAAAGGUAACGGAGGAGUACGAAGGUACGCUUAGGGCGGUCGGACAUCGCCCACAAAGUGCAAUGGCAAAAGCGUGCUUGACUGCGAGACCCACAAGUCGAGCAGGUACGAAAGUAGGUCAUAGUGAUCCGGUGGUUCUGUAUGGAAGGGCCAUCGCUCAACGGAUAAAAGGUACUCUGGGGAUAACAGGCUAAUUCCUCCCAAGAGUUCAUAUCGACGGGGGAGUUUGGCACCUCGAUGUCGGCCCAUCACAUCCUGGGGCUGUAGUCGGUCCCAAGGGUAUGGCUGUUCGCCAUUUAAAGUGGUACGCGAGCUGGGUUUAAAACGUCGUGAGACAGUUUGGUCCCUAUCUGCCGUGGGCGCUGGAAAUUUGAAGGGGGCUGCUCCUAGUACGAGAGGACCGGAGUGGACGAACCUCUGGUGUACCGGUUAUGACGCCAGUCGUAUCGCCGGGUAGCUAAGUUCGGAAGAGAUAAACGCUGAAAGCAUCUAAGCGUGAAACUCGCCUUAAGAUAAGAUUUCCCGGAGUCUUGAACUCCCUGAAGGGUCGUCGAAGACCACGACGUUGAUAGGUCAGGUGUGGAAGCGCAGCAAUGCGUUAAGCUAACUGAUACUAAUUGCCCGUGCGGCUUGAUCC
Molecule: ribosomal RNA, 1372 nt
Filed under: metagenome
Description: bacterial LSU rRNA
Rfam family: Bacterial large subunit ribosomal RNA
Source: RNAcentral